Molecule: ribosomal RNA, 301 nt
Filed under: uncultured bacterium
Lineage: Bacteria
Description: partial 16S ribosomal RNA
Rfam family: Bacterial small subunit ribosomal RNA
Source: RNAcentral
CAGUCGCCGCGGUAAUACGUAGGUGGCUAGCGUUGCUCGGAAUGACUGGGCGUAAAGGGCGCGUAGGCGGAUGGCACAGUCAGAUGUGAAAUUCCCGGGCUUAACCUGGGGGCUGCAUUUGAUACGUGUUGUCUAGAGUGAGGAAGAGGGUCGUGGAAUUCCCAGUGUAGAGGUGAAAUUCGUAGAUAUUGGGAAGAACACCGGUGGCGAAGGCGGCGACCUGGUCCUUUACUGACGCUGAGGCGCGAAAGCGUGGGGAGCAAACAGGAUUAGAUACCCGCGUAGUCCCUGUCUCUUAUAC